Molecule: long non-coding RNA, 724 nt
Filed under: Mus spretus (western wild mouse)
Lineage: Eukaryota; Metazoa; Chordata; Mammalia; Rodentia; Muridae
Description: lncRNA (ENSMSPG00010008634.1)
Source: RNAcentral
ACAGGAAGACCCGGCCCUAGCCGUGGGAAGCACUGUUAAAUGAACUGGGGUCCCAGAACAGAGAGGAGAAAGUGAGCUGAGCCCAGCGUUCAUCUCGCUUUGCAUCAUGGGCCUCUGCUGAAGCUCCUACCACGGAGCUUUUCCCAGCGUGAUGGACUGAAUGCCUAACUCACCAUCCUCCUCUAGGUCCCUCGAAGCACACAGCAUCCCGAGUGAUGCCUACAGCAUCCCGAGUGACUCGCGCAGUCCCAAAGACAGCGUUGACCCACUGAGUCUUUAAGUAUCUGCUCUAUCAAACCAGCCCCUCACGGACCCUGGACACCUGACAUCCAGCAAGCUUUGGGGACCACUCUGUAAACAGCAUCGUAACUAGUCACCUGACUCAUCCUCUGUUCUGCAAACCUGGGAAUCUGAGGGCGGCAGCAUUCACACACAGUGAGAGCCUGGGCUCUGCUCUCAGGACCUGCAAGUCUCAGGUGCCUUCACCUGCACUACAUCUGCACUGCCCUCGCUGCAGUGAGUAGACCAGACCCGCCUCUGCCCCGCCCACUCGGAUCUCUGCGGGCUACGCCCCCGCUGUUCUCUUCCUUCCCCUGUCCCUCCAUCCUCUCUUCACCUUCUGGCAUUUUCCACUCUGACACUGACCUUUGCGUUGACACAGUCAGUCAAUAUGUGAAACCCUUGCUUUUCUCAACCUAAAAUAAAUCCAUAAUUAAUUCAUUAA